Molecule: ribosomal RNA, 475 nt
Filed under: uncultured bacterium
Lineage: Bacteria
Description: SSU rRNA
Rfam family: Bacterial small subunit ribosomal RNA
Source: RNAcentral
AGGAUGAACGCUGGCGGCGUGCCUAACACAUGCAAGUCGAACGUCCUGUCUCGCAAGAGGCAGGGAGUGGCGGACGGGUGAGUACCACGUGGGUCAUCUACCGUGAGGUGAGGAAUACCGGCGAGAAAUCGCCGACAAGACCGCAUAGGCUCGAUGCAAGUCGAGCAAAGCUCUUUCGAGAGAGGGAGCGCCACACGAGGAGCCUGCGCCCGAUUAGCUAGCUGGUGGAGUAACGGUUCACCAGGGCGACGAUCGGUAGCUGGUCUGAGAGGACGAUCAGCCACACUGGGAUUGAGAACGGCCCAGACUCCUACGGGGGCAGCAGUGAGGAAUUUUCAUCAAUGGGGGCAACCCUGAACGAGCAACGCCGCGUGCAGGAAGAAGGUUUUCGGAUCGUAAACUGCUUUUCUCGGGGAAGAGAACGGACGGUACCCGAGGAAUCAGCCCCGGCUAACUACGUGCCAGCAGCCGCGGU